This is a long non-coding RNA of Chelonus insularis, 504 nucleotides long. RefSeq lists it as uncharacterized. NCBI's taxonomy places the organism in Eukaryota, Metazoa, Arthropoda, Insecta, Hymenoptera, Braconidae. The record is from RefSeq and is a predicted model, not a curated record. The transcript is spliced from 2 exons.
UAUCUGUUUGUCUAUAGAAUAGUUGUUUCAAUGUAAAUAAUGUUUUUAGUUUUAUUUUUCAUUAUCUUGAAAUAAUUUUAUUUAAUAAUUUAAUUAUUUAUUCAUCAUGUCAUUUAAAUAUAAUAAAAUUUUUGAUAUUUGGAAAUACUCGAAGAUUAUUGGGAUUUGUAGAUAUUUUAUAAACACACGACUUUAAUGAUAAAUGAACGUUCAGCUUUAUCAACGGACAUAAUUAAUGGGUGUUAUGCAUAUGAAUCAGAAUAUAUGAUCUCCAAAUUUUAUUUGAAAUAAAUGAAUUUGCAUAAAUUUUUGUGUACAAAAUUUGGACUUUUAUCUGGUACGUAAUAUAUUAUAGAAACGAUGAGUGUCAUGCAUAAAUCUAUUUAUGCAAAAAGCAAAUGUAAAUGGAUUAUAAAAGUUUGUUAAUUUUUAUUGUAAAUGACAGAUAAAUAGUUGAAUGAAUUAAACAUGGAAUAAAAUGCCUAGUGUUAACUAAACAACAGA